AGUCGACGCUUUGUGGUUCAACUGAUUUGAAGAGCUUGCUCAGAUAUGACGAUGAACAUUGCAAAGAGUGGCGAACGGGUGAGUAACACGUGGGAAACCUACCUCUUAGCAGGGGAUAACAUUUGGAAACAGAUGCUAAUACCGUAUAACAAUAGCAACCGCAUGGUUGCUACUUAAAAGAUGGUUCUGCUAUCACUAAGAGAUGGUCCCGCGGUGCAUUAGUUAGUUGGUGAGGUAAUGGCUCACCAAGACGAUGAUGCAUAGCCGAGUUGAGAGACUGAUCGGCCACAAUGGGACUGAGACACGGCCCAUACUCCUACGGGAGGCAGCAGUAGGGAAUCUUCCACAAUGGGCGAAAGCCUGAUGGAGCAACGCCGCGUGUGUGAUGAAGGGUUUCGGCUCGUAAAACACUGUUGUAAGAGAAGAAUGACAUUGAGAGUAACUGUUCAAUGUGUGACGGUAUCUUACCAGAAAGGAACGGCUAAAUACGUGCCAGCAGCCGCGGUAAUACGUAUGUUCCAAGCGUUAUCCGGAUUUAUUGGGCGUAAAGCGAGCGCAGACGGUUAUUUAAGUCUGAAGUGAAAGCCCUCAGCUCAACUGAGGAAUUGCUUUGGAAACUGGAUGACUUGAGUGCAGUAGAGGAAAGUGGAACUCCAUGUGUAGCGGUGAAAUGCGUAGAUAUAUGGAAGAACACCAGUGGCGAAGGCGGCUUUCUGGACUGUAACUGACGUUGAGGCUCGAAAGUGUGGGUAGCAAACAGGAUUAGAUACCCUGGUAGUCCACACCGUAAACGAUGAGUG
This 800-nucleotide ribosomal RNA is filed under the name Weissella cibaria. RNAcentral describes it as "bacterial SSU rRNA". It matches the Rfam family "Bacterial small subunit ribosomal RNA", at positions 60 to 815 of the family's 1533-position model. Lineage: Bacteria; Bacillati; Bacillota; Bacilli; Lactobacillales; Lactobacillaceae. The record is from RNAcentral.